RNAcentral lists this unclassified non-coding RNA (229 nucleotides) under plant metagenome. Its description in RNAcentral is "partial contains small subunit ribosomal RNA, internal transcribed spacer 1, and 5.8S ribosomal RNA". The record is from RNAcentral.
UCUCCGUAGGUGAACCUGCGGAGGGAUCAUUACAGAGUUCAUGCCCUACCGGGUAGAUCUCCCACCCUGUGUUAUUAUUACUUUGUUGCUUUGGCGGGCCGUUAGGCUCCGGCCCGACUACCGGCCCCGGCUGGUAAGCGCCCGCCAGAGGACCCAAAACCCUGAAUAUUAGUGUCGUCUGAGUACUAUAUAAUAGUUAAAACUUUCAACAACGGAUCUCUUGGUUCUG